GACGGAGGCUGCAAGCGUUGUCCGGAAUGAUUGGGCGUAAAGCGCCCGCAGGCGGCCGUUCAAGUCUGCUGUCAAAGUCCGGGGCUUAACUUCGGAAAGGCAGUGGAAACUGAACAGCUAGAGUAUGGUAGGGGCAGAGGGAAUUCCUGGUGUAGCGGUGAAAUGCGUAGAGAUCAGGAAGAACAUCGGAGGCGAAGGCGCUGUGCUGGACCAUAACUGACACUCAGGGACGAAAGCUAGGGGAGCGAAUGGG
Molecule: ribosomal RNA, 253 nt
Filed under: uncultured bacterium
Lineage: Bacteria
Description: partial 16S ribosomal RNA
Rfam family: Bacterial small subunit ribosomal RNA
Source: RNAcentral